This 104-nucleotide ribosomal RNA is filed under the name uncultured bacterium. RNAcentral's name for it is "partial 16S ribosomal RNA". It matches the Rfam family "Bacterial small subunit ribosomal RNA", at positions 1379 to 1482 of the family's 1533-position model. The record is from RNAcentral.
CCUUGUACACACCGCCCGUCACACCACGAGAGUUUGUAACACCCGAAGUCGGUGAGGUAACCGCAAGGAGCCAGCCGCCUAAGGUGGGAUAGAUGAUUGGGGUG